UACGUAGGGGGCUAGCGUUAUCCGGAAUUACUGGGCGUAAAGGGUGCGUAGGUGGUUUCUUAAGUCAGAGGUGAAAGGCUACGGCUCAACCGUAGUAAGCCUUUGAAACUGAGAAACUUGAGUGCAGGAGAGGAGAGUAGAAUUCCUAGUGUAGCGGUGAAAUGCGUAGAUAUUAGGAGGAAUACCAGUUGCGAAGGCGGCUCUCUGGACUGUAACUGACACUGAGGCACGAAAGCGUGGGGAGCAAACAGGAUUAGAUACCCCUGUAGUCCCUGA
This 276-nucleotide ribosomal RNA is filed under the name uncultured prokaryote. RNAcentral's name for it is "partial 16S ribosomal RNA". It matches the Rfam family "Bacterial small subunit ribosomal RNA", at positions 524 to 800 of the family's 1533-position model. The record is from RNAcentral.